Molecule: ribosomal RNA, 492 nt
Filed under: uncultured bacterium
Lineage: Bacteria
Description: partial 16S ribosomal RNA
Rfam family: Bacterial small subunit ribosomal RNA
Source: RNAcentral
AGUGAACGCUGGCGGUAGGCCUAACACAUGCAAGUCGAACGGCAGCACAGUAAGAGCUUGCUCUUACGGGUGGCGAGUGGCGGACGGGUGAGGAAUACAUCGGAAUCUACUUUUUCGUGGGGGAUAACGUAGGGAAACUUACGCUAAUACCGCAUACGACCUACGGGUGAAAGCAGGGGAUCUUCGGACCUUGCGCGAUUGAAUGAGCCGAUGUCGGAUUAGCUAGUUGGCGGGGUAAAGGCCCACCAAGGCGACGAUCCGUAGCUGGUCUGAGAGGAUGAUCCGCCACACUGGAACUGAGACACGGUCCAGACUCCUACGGGAGGCAGCAGUGGGGAAUAUUGGACAAUGGGCGAAAGCCUGAUCCAGCCAUACCGCGUGGGUGAAGAAGGCCUUCGGGUUGUAAAGCCCUUUUGUUGGGAAAGAAAAGAAGCAGGUUUGUACCCCGCUGUUCUGACGGUACCCAAAGAAUAAGCACCGGCUAACUUCGUG